Molecule: long non-coding RNA, 303 nt
Filed under: Bos taurus (domestic cattle)
Lineage: Eukaryota; Metazoa; Chordata; Mammalia; Artiodactyla; Bovidae
Description: long non-coding RNA NONBTAT001201
Source: RNAcentral
UAGACUUCACUUUUCUUGAAUUUUGUAAGGAAAAAUGUUGUUAGUGGGAAGUGUCUUUAAACUCAUUUUCCACAGACAGAGAUGACUUUCUCAGCCCAGCCCUAGGCUUGGUCGUUUGUUGACCACAUUUGAAAUAAUGGUGGAAAUCAAUGUCGUCAUUGUUUAGGUUAUUUUUAUGCUCUGCAAGAGAGGGGUGACUGCUGGAGGAAAAAGAGCAUGGCUGAUGCUAUGCUCUUGACUAGAAUGGAAAUCCAGCAAAAUGUCCAUCCAGAUCAAAUGCAGACACAAGAGCAGGGAUGAAAG